RNAcentral lists this ribosomal RNA (465 nucleotides) under uncultured bacterium. RNAcentral's name for it is "partial 16S ribosomal RNA". It matches the Rfam family "Bacterial small subunit ribosomal RNA", at positions 28 to 507 of the family's 1533-position model. The record is from RNAcentral.
GACGAACGCUGGCGGCGUGCUUAACACGUGCAAGUCGAACGGAAAGGCCCCUUUGGGGGUACUCGAGUGGCGCACGGGUGAGUAACACGUGAGUAACCUGCCCUUGACUUCGGGAUAACUUCAGGAAACUGGGGCUAAUACCGGAUAGGAAUCCUUGCUGCAUGGUGGGGGUUGGAAAGCUUCGGCGGUUUUGGAUGGACUCGCGGCUUAUCAGCUUGUUGGUGGGGUAGUGGCUUACCAAGGCUUUGACGGGUAGCCGGCCUGAGAGGGCGACCGGCCACAUUGGGACUGAGAUACGGCCCAGACGCCUACGGGAGGCAGCAGUGGGGAAUAUUGCACAAGGGGCGGAAGCCUGAUGCAGCAACGCCGCGUGCGGGAUGACGGCCUUCGGGUUGUAAACCGCGUUCAGCAGGGGCGAAGCUUGUGGUGACGGUACCUGCAGAAGAAGCACCGGCUAACUACGUG